AUGGAUGCCUGUUAUGGACUUUGGCAUUAAACCUCACCUUCUGGUUUCUGAACAUUACCCAGACAUUGUAGAAGUUCAGGUCAAAUAUUAACCCAGACAAAGGCCCAUGUUUGAGACUGUCUGACUGCAGACGCCGAAGAGCAAGUUCCAAAUUCUUGACAUACUGCAGAGCAUUCAAACCAUCUUCAGGGUGCUGUAGGAAGCAUAUAAAUAGAUCUACCAGUUGCUGAAAUUCCUCUUUUGUUUCAGCAGAGACUCCAAUCAACUGGCUCAAGUAGACCUGCUUCGAUCCGUGCCAGUCCUAUAAGAACAGAAAACAUGGGGGAUGAAUUUUAUUAUCCUUCUCUGGAAAGCGUGGUCCACACCUUUUGUGUCAUAGAUACUAGGGAACAUAAUAGAGUAAGUGCCUGUUUGUGUAAGCUUCAGGUGCUGUGUAAAAUUUGUCAGACACUGCGCCACAACUUGGAUACAGAGCCAUUUUUGUUGCCCCACUUGAGGGAACUAAUUAUCAGACACCUAACACUAUUGGAGAGGUUGUCCACUACCUCCAAAUUUCAGCGCAUACUCGACUACAUGAAGCUAUCCCUUGAGGCAAAUGAUUCAAACUUGUUACAAGACUUGGCCAUAGGCACUGUCAAUUUACUGGGCUGUCAAAGUCCAGAGAUUUUGUCUAUCCCAUAUGACAAAGAUCAGCCUGUACAUGAAUGGUGUGCAUGUUUCCUGACCUCUGUAGACGAGGAAGCCUUGAGAAAAAUAUCUUCUAUGUUGGACAAUAAACACUUUUCUUAUAUGUACAACUUUAAAACAUUCUUAAAGUAUUCACUAGAGUUAGAAACAGCUGCAGACUUUGAUUUAUCUACUGGACUCAAUGUCCUUGUGUAUUGGGUAAGCGUCUUUAAACUGUUCAGUGUUUGUGUCCAAAGUCAGUUUCUGCUGGACAGCCUUGUGGCAUUUAAUGCCCUUUUUAAAAAUCAUGUAAAAGAGUUAGAAGCGAUUGUGGAAUCUGACACAAACCUGCUCUGCUAUAGCACAUCUGUUGUGUGGGCAAAAUUGUCUAACUUAAACCAUCUGCUCCACAGACUUCAGACUAGUAACAACACUUUAGUUUUUGAUGAAAUACUGAUCUGUCUGCGUGGUUUACAAAUUUAUAUAAAAUGUUUACCUACCUUAUCGGCUGAAGGGGAAUCCGAGUCAGAGGCCAUCGCUGCAGAAAUUCCCUCGUAGUGCAGGAGUUGUAUUUUUGAGUGUAGAUUGAAAAGAGUUGUGCUCUCUCCUCAGCCUUUGAAGGGACAUUUCAUGACUCAUGUAGGAGGAGCUACCAGAUUUCCAUAAAAGUGGGAGGCUAUUAUUUCUUGCAGACUGCAGCACAUUGUGGGAUAAUGUGUUCAAAAAUGGACCUUGAAACCCGUGAAGGUGGUGGUUGCCAGCAGGUUUCAAUUCUCAUGGUCACAUCUGACAGAGAAAAGGAACAGUAUGAGAAAUUUAUGAACAUACUUAAGAAUCUUUCAAAUUGUACUGAUAUAUCUCAGGUCGUGGCAGAUGCUAAAAAAAUCUAUGAUUCCAGGGAAUUUUGUUAUGUGCCUGCCCUUCUCACUCUGUUCAAGAAGUUGCCUUCUGUUCAUAAAUGGCCUGAAAAUGAAAACUGUAAUGAGGUGCUAAGUGCUGCCUUCUUUGUGUGCCAGCUCUUAUUUUUUCAUAACUUCCCAGCCUCACCAGCUUUUACAGUGGAUGAAAUGUUUGCAACAGUGGCUGCUAGAUUGAAGGAUCUGAUAGAAUAUUCAUGUGACUGUGAGAACUGUGAAUUGUUGGCUGAAUCCCUGACAAAUUAUAAGUUUUCCCUGGUACCUAUAAAGAUCAGGCCACACACCGAUACCUGUGUCUCACUGAAAACACUCCAGCGGCUACGGACUGCCAUGUUAGGCAAUCCUGAAACCCUGAGUAUUUGGACCCUUGAUGACCUGGUGGAGGACCCAGUAGUCUUCAAAGGCUAUGAAAGCGCAAUUAGGAGAGAAUUUGCUGAGCAUGUCACAUGUUUGAACAUGUGCUGGGUUGUGAAGAUAAUCUUGGACUGCAUGUCUCAGCCAACAGCUCUGCUUCGGGAUUGUAUUCAGAAGGGUGCAAAGAAUAAUGGACUCCAGCUGGACACUUCGAGUACCUGGACGUGGCCAGCAGCACGUAUUGCUGAAAAGGAAGUCAUAGAACAUACCAUGAGUGUUUGUGUACAGGAUAUGACUAGAAGUCAUGAUCAGGAAUUCUACACAGAGGCCUUUAAGGAAGAUCUCCAUAUAGGAUUAAAGAGACUAGUUGCCAUGGUCCUUGGGCAGAAUCAUAGUUGGUUAGAUGGCUUUCUGACAGACACUAUAGUGACAGGUAAAGCAUAGCCUGGGGCAUAGUUCUUUGAUGAAUCAUCAUAAAUAUGAUGGCUAAUGUGGUCCUUUUGUGUAUUAAUGCAGAUAUGUUUAUGUAUCCAGGUGUGUUGCUUGAAAGGUAUUUUGCUGUACUAACCCAACACCACCUAUUUAUCAUGUUUGGAAGCCUAUUAAAAACUGUGCUAUUGACUCUGGCGUUUGUGUCUUUGUCUACUUGUGACUCAAAAAUUUUACCCAAGCAUUGUUGCCAUAUUUCUGCAACCCCUACUGAGAAAAAAUCCUGGAACUUCCUGUCCUCCAUAACUGAGAUAUAUCUUAGUAGUCCAUCUUCGUGUGGGAAUAUCAAUGUGGCCCAGGUGAAAGUGAAAACCAAGACAGGAUACCACUUAGAAUGUGCAAAUGGUUUUGGACUCAUGGGCUUUCUUGAAGCCGUGGUCAGCAGGUUUAGAGACCCCACCCCCGAUGACGUUGAGUUCCUUAAACAACUUAAAUUGUUGCACGAUCAGUUUGAUGAGGUAUUUUCAGCAAGCACUGCCAACAGCUCCUCCUUUAAGGUCGCCGCCUGGUAACCAUGGACACUUGGCUAAAAACGCAUGUGUGGUCCCUGAAUGUUAUGCAGAGAGACUCAGUAAUGGAUUUUCUACCUCAAUCCUGGAUAGACUACUUACAACUCUCCGCGUUUUCAUCCAAGAAGCUUGAGCAGAUUAUGGCUGCAGUAGAAAACAGAAGAAAACAAAAUAUUGUCUAUCCUGAUAGUGAGGAUGUGAUGCGCUGGGCAUUUUCCUGCCCUCCUGAAAAUGUUAGGGUUGUUAUUCUGGGACAGGAUCCCUAUCAUGGGGGCCAGGCCAAUGGUUUGGCCUUUAGUGUUCAUGAAAACUUUCCAGUCCCACCGAGCUUACACAACAUUUUCCAAGAACUUAAAAGGUCAGUGCCUGAUUUUCAAAUUCCCCCUUCUGGCUGUCUUGAUAAGUGGGCAGAACAGGGAGUUCUUCUGCUUAACUGCAUCCUGACUGUAGAUAAGGGACGGCCUGGUUCUCACCACAAACUUGGAUGGGGAUGGUUCACAGACUAUGUCAUUUCUACAAUCUCUGAAAAGAAUGAUAAGUGUGUUUUUAUGCUGUGGGGAAACAAGGCAAUAGAAAAGGAAGUUCUGAUCAAUGGCAGUAAGCAUCUUGUAUUAAAGGCGCAACAUCCUUCCCCCCUGGCAUCUCUUGGUGGCUACUCAUCAAAACAGGCCCCGUUUUUGGGCUGUAACCACUUUUCAAUUGCCAACACAUAUUUAACGCAGCACAACAAACCCUCAAUUUCUUGGAACUUAUAAUGGACCCCUUUAAGAAACCAGUGAGAAUGUUGCCCAUAAAGGGGGCCCCGAUCUCUCGACCAAUAAGUGUUUUUACAUUUGACGUGUUUAACCCCCCGGACGAUUCCGAUGGGUCAUCAACUCCAGACUCAGUGUUUGAGGCGGAGACCAGCCCAGCAAGAACUCCUCCAACUCCCGCCUUGAUUCUACCCUAUGAUUAUGUGAGCAGUGAAGACUCUGAUGAUGAAGCACAAGAACAUGCGGAUAACCGGGACACUAAUGACCAGGUCAGCGAGUCAAGUACAAGUGAGGACUCUGAUUCAGAGUCUGAAAGUUCAUGUGACGAUACCCAGCAGACUUUCGUGGACGAUGAGUCCACCAGCUCUUCUGGCGAGGAAGACAGAGAUGAUCCUUUUGAGUCAAAUGACCAGGGCGCGCAGGGCGGGUCGACCUCUGAGUCUGAGGAUGACCUCCCUGCAAUACUGAGGGCUGCACGCGAGACACAAAGUGACAGCUCUAGUGACAGUUCCGGCAACUCCCAUAAAAAAAGGCGAGUGCAGGAAGAAGAAAGUAGUCGCAUCUUGAAAACCCCAGCCCCCAUUUCUGGUAAUGGAAAAUAUAACUGGCCAUGGUUGGAUUGAAACUUUAUUCAAUAAAAAUUAAUAUACAAGUA
This 4342-nucleotide non-coding RNA is filed under the name synthetic construct. The record is from RNAcentral.